UAGAAUCAAAAUGUGUGAUAACGUUGCGAUGGUCUUCCUCUUAUGGUCAUCUUCUCGUGAUUGUUGCUCCGCUACUAAAGGGUGGGAGGAGAAGAUUUACAAUAUCAACUCAUAGAGGACAUAUAGAAGAAAUUAAUGUUGAUGUCGUUGAGGAUCAAUUGAUUACUUAAGAGCACAAGAAGUAUAUUGAGCAAGACCAUGUUGAGCACAAGCAUGUUGCUCAACAACAACAUGAAGAAGGUGGAUUCCCAGGAACAGGACACCUUGCUGCUUACCCAUUACAUGUAGCAUGUUGCAUUUGCCUUAUGGCAAAGCUGAGAUCGAGCGGGGGGGCAAAGUGAUCUCUCAUGGCAAAAAGAAGUGAAAAAAUUUGGAUUAUAUCAUGAGACUGUUGAGCUUUUUAUCAUGAUGUCUGGAUUGAAUUCCUUAGUGAACUUAUCCUACGAGUACGCCGAUCAUGGAUUGAUCACAACAUUUGCGGAGAGCUGACACUUGGAGAUGAAUAAUUUCCAUCUUCCAGUAGCUGAGAUGACCGUCACAUUAGAUGAGAUGAACAAUCUGUUGCACCUGCUCAUUAAGGGUUAUGAUUUAAGGAGGCUCGAUCUCUUACCAUGAAUUUAAGGAUCGAGCUACUAGAAUUUUCCAUCGCUCAUUAGAACCGUUUCCUUAAGUUCUAUUAGGAACUCACUCUUGAGGUAAACUUUGAUGCCAACCGAAAUUACAGGGAAAACAAUAAAUGGGACGGGGGGAGGGAGGGGUGAAUAGUGCUUUUAAAAUCUUUUCGCAAAGCAAUAUCUAAUUACUUAUAAAAAGAACGUGUAAGGGUUUUAAGAUGAUUAGAUGUUAGGUUUUACAAUA
Long non-coding RNA from Vigna radiata var. radiata (mung bean), 858 nucleotides. RefSeq lists it as uncharacterized. Lineage: Eukaryota; Viridiplantae; Streptophyta; Magnoliopsida; Fabales; Fabaceae. The record is from RefSeq and is a predicted model, not a curated record. The transcript has 3 exons.